UAAAAUUGGAAAUGGAGAAUUUCUAGAAGUCAAAAGAGAAAGGUGAAAUUAUAGUAGGAACUUAAACAGGUAUCAAAUUCAUCUAUGAGGUUUUGUAUGUACUUGGUUUAGAUUAAAAUAUAUUAAGUGUAGGUCAAAUGCUUGAAAAGCAUUAUUCAUUGUUGUUUAAAGAUAUGACCUACACUAUCAUGGAUCUUUCUGGAACUGAA
RNAcentral lists this unclassified non-coding RNA (209 nucleotides) under Hevea brasiliensis (rubber tree). Lineage: Eukaryota; Viridiplantae; Streptophyta; Magnoliopsida; Malpighiales; Euphorbiaceae. The record is from RNAcentral.